RNAcentral lists this ribosomal RNA (253 nucleotides) under uncultured bacterium. RNAcentral's name for it is "partial 16S ribosomal RNA". It matches the Rfam family "Bacterial small subunit ribosomal RNA", at positions 524 to 776 of the family's 1533-position model. The record is from RNAcentral.
UACGUAGGGGGCUAGCGUUGUCCGGAAUCAUUGGGCGUAAAGAGCGUGUAGGCGGCCCGGUAAGUCCGCUGUAAAAGUCAAAGGCUCAACCUUUGAAUGUCAGUGGAUACUGCCGGGCUAGAGUCCGGAAGAGGCGAGUGGAACUCCUGGUGUAGCGGUGGAAUGCGCAGAUAUCGGGAAGAAUACCCGUGGCGAAGGCGGUUCUCUGGGACGGUACUGACGCUGAGACGCGAAAGCGUGGGGAGCGAACAGG